RNAcentral lists this ribosomal RNA (132 nucleotides) under Staphylococcus sp. SNAZ 75. Its description in RNAcentral is "partial 23S ribosomal RNA". It matches the Rfam family "Bacterial large subunit ribosomal RNA", at positions 2794 to 2925 of the family's 2925-position model. The record is from RNAcentral. Lineage: Bacteria; Bacillati; Bacillota; Bacilli; Caryophanales; Staphylococcaceae.
CCCCCUCAAGAUGAGAUUUCCCAACUUCGGUUAUAAGAUCCCUCAAAGAUGAUGAGGUUAAUAGGUUCGAGGUGGAAGCAUAGCGAUAUGUGGAGCUGACGAAUACUAAUCGAUCGAAGACUUAAUCAAAUU